GGAGGGAGGGGGGAGGAUACUCCCAGGACAUCAAGCCUAGAGCAUCAUCGGGUGCGCCGGACUUGUAAACAAAUCGCAAAUGUACUUUGAUUCUUUCCGUUAGACUUCAGUUACCCCACGCAGACUGGACACAUUAAGAGUGAAGGCCCAGAUUGUUGUGAGAGAUUGCCGGAAUAGUAAGGACAAAGGUCAUCAUCACCUUCAGAUAAUUGAAACAACUCUAUGCAUCUGGCAUUGGUCACUGUUGGAGACAGGAUACUGGACUAGAUGAAAUAUUGGUCUGUUCCAGUGUUGCAAUCCUAUGUUCCUGUCUCUCUGGUGGGCUAGCAUCCUGUGAUAUCCUUCCAGCUGGUAAUAUGCCCAGGACAAAGUUUUAGCACCAUCAACCUCCCGAGCUGCCUGCGACCUCAACGCAGUAUUACCAAAAUUAAGCUGUUUGAAUGCAACAAGUGUUUGGGAAUGUGCUGUGUGCUUCUGUGAGGGUGCCAGAGUGUACGAGAAAUGGGGAGGGGAUUUUUCAGAACUUUGCAAGUGACACAUGGAAGAUCCCACCCCCAUGCUUCUCAGGGAAACACAAAUGAACAUUGAAACUGUGUAGGACAUGUUUACAUUAACCAUCCACAUUUAUGUUAACUUCAGAAAAACUCUAGGGAUUCAGUUCCUUUGGUACAAAUGCAGCUAUUGUUAUCCCUUAACCCACCACCCAGUACACUUAGUGCAAGAGAAAGCUAGAGGCAGAAGCCAAACACAAUAGGAAUCAGAGUAAAACUUGUCUCUGGAGUUGUUUGAUUUCAUUUUUAAUCGGAUGGCUUCAAUUUCUCAGGUUAGUUUCAGAGACUGCCCUUGUUCUAUCUGCUCACACUAGAUGCACAAAGAGUUUCAGGCCAUUCAUUCAUGGUGCAGGUUCCCUUCAGUCUGCAGCAAGAAUGUUUACUCCUAGUUCCGGUUAGUUGCCAAUCAGAGCAUUAGCCAAUUGCUGGCUAUGUCCUUAUAGGGAGGUUAUGUGUUUUGUGGGCUAAAAUGAGCAUAUAAAUUCUGUCAGGCAAGUCAGCAAACUCCUGAUCUUAUUUACAUCUGACAGAAUUUGAAAAUGUUCUGGUAUGACAAAUUAAGUCUUGGGGCUCUGGUCCUUACCCCAAAGAGCUGUGUGUUUGUGGAGGAGUGGGAAGGGGGAAAGCAGAGUUUCUUGAAUAUUUAGCAUUUGUUAAGCACAAGCAUGUUAGUGUGGUGGGUGUGUUAAUAAGAAAAAUGACCAUGGCAGUUUUAUUAGUGCAUAUAUGCCCCGAAAAUAGCUUAUAGAUUGUUCUUUCACUGGCUUCUUUGAGAGUCUCUCCUGAUUUAUGAGGGUAGGAUAAAAUAUGUAUCAUUUGGCUAUGAGAUGACUGUGUGGGGGGCUGUGAUAACAGUUUAAAAUAUUUCAAGGGUCUAAGCACUGAGAUGAAGGGGAAUUGUUUAGUGAAGCACAAGGGUGAAUAACGAAGAGACAAAGGAGGAGAUAUAGGAAAAGAAAAUGUAGCCUAUCAGGAAAAAUGUCACAUUGGUAGAUCUAUUAGGCUGUUGCUGGUCCCCUAAGGGAAAUAGUGGGAGUGAGAUAUUUCAAAAUAGAUGGGGGCAAAGAACUAGAAAAUGUGCAAUCAGAAACAAUCCUGCACAAUCAGAACCAAUCAGCUGUAUUCUGUAUUUCUUUUCUUCCCUUUCUAACCUCUGUGAUUUUCUUCCCCCAAUUAUUUCUCUUCUCUAAUCCCUGAUAUUUGUAGGAAUUGCCAUACUUGAUCAGACAUACAGUCUAUCUAACCCAGUAUCUCUCUCCCCCUUUGCCCUGUCUGUCUUCUCCUUGUUCUCUGUCCUUCCUGUAGCCUUUUCUCUCCCUGCUGCUCCAUGGUUAUCCCCCGUCUACACUGUCCCGUUUCCUUGAUUCACUCUUCCCCUCCAAUUCUUUUGGCCUUUAUCAGUUUCCUGUUGUGUAGCAUUGCUGGGUUCCUGUGUGAUAGCCCAUUAACAGUAGUACUUUGCUUUAGGAUGUAUGGGUGAAAAAUGCUCUUUGCAAAAGAGGGUAAGUGUCAUUAUCCCUAUUUUGAAACAUGGGGAAACUGAGGCACAGAGCGGUAAAGGGAUUUGCUCAAAAUCACACAAGGAGGUCAAUGGCAGAGCGGGGAAUGGAAUUACUCAGGUCACCUGAGUCCCAGGCCAAUGCCUCCUCCACUGGACUAUGCUGCUUGUACUACUGUGACCCAUUUGAGUUGCACCUUAGUCCUGAAGCACAUGGGCAGAAUGAAGAGGGCGUUAUCAUGAGAGAACUCCCCAGGUAUUGGGCAGAGCAAGGGAACGGUGUUGUCAUGUUUCAGGCCAUUUAAAGAUAGUAGUUAGGGACUUGGGGAAAUGACAGGUGGGGGGAACCUAGAGAGCUUUCCUCCCAUACCCCUCUUAAUAAAUGCAUAUGUUAUUGUUACCAUUUCUUUUAACAAAUAAACAAGGCAGCUGUAGCCUUAUUUACCAAGUAAGGAAAUCUGUAUAAAACAUUCCCCAGAUUUGAAGUAAUCGUGUUUUUCAAGAGAAUAUAUUAAAAAAAAAAGUUGGUACAUAGUGUCUUCUCCUAAGUCCAGGAAGGCACACACAUUUAUUUCCCAGUAGCAGCACACUGCGUACUGACUGUAACUAGGUGAGAAUACUAAACAGACCCAGUUUCCCCACUGGCUUCUAAAAAACAGGGAUAAAUUCCUCUGCAGAGAGAAGACAGAUGGGGUGGGCAUUGCUAAAAACCUGGCUUCCCUGUAUCAGAAAACUAUGCAAAUCCAAAGGCUCAGAGCAUGGACGAUUGUUAAUGAAUUAUUAGUAUUAUUGAGAUGUUGCCAUUCUUUGCCAGUAGUACAGAGGGCUGGCAGAAAUCGUAUCCAUAUUGGGAGGUACAGUAUUUUUACGAAGGUAGCAACCUAUCCUUCAUCUGAUGAAUAAUGCACAUUUUCUCCUGCCAGGUGGGGGAGUCAGGACAUUGUUAGUGGUGGUAGGGAGACAGAGGAAUGAGCUGAGAGUGGUGGAUGGUGAUUGAGAGCUAGCCUAUUGCGCAGGGGUAAUUCAUAAAGAGAGUUACGCAUUCUGUGCGAGUUCAGAAUAGACUGUGUUGUCUACAGAGAAAUCAAAAGCUUCCAUUCGGGGUUUGGAAAUCAAACCAUUGCAAGGAAGCAUCUAACAACAAUGAAGAAUUGCAGCGGUUCUCAUUUUAUUUUACUAACAGUACAUCUGGAUGGCACCUUGCAUGGCACAGGGUGCCAAUGAGCCUUAUAGACAGAUGGGGCCUGAUUAGCCAUGUUUGUGUCCCCUGAUCCAGCAGCCAUUCAAUCCAAGGCCUGUCUCCUUGCCCAAAUUAGAACAGCUGGAGAUUGCUGUAACUUGUGCAAUCAAUGGCAGCUAGGGAUCAGAGGAGUACAGGGAUGCCCCGACCAUGACCCCUUUCCCCAGCCAUGACUUCUGAGCCACAGGAAGGACAGUAGAUAGAACCUAUCAUGGUGGCUCCAUAUCCAAUAUGGUUUCCCCUACCCUCCUAAGCUGGGAGUAGAGAGUGGAAUCUGGCCCACAGAGUUUCACACCCACUUUGUAGUGGUGUGACCAAGUUACACACAAGGUGCAGGGCAAUGGAGAAUCAAGCCCAGCGCACAGAGUGAAACGUGUCUUUGAUGAUUCAGAGGAAUAGCAAAAAUUGGCUGCCCAGUGAAGCUGGAUCUUUAAUUAAAAGGAUGAAUGAAAGACUUUAAAGUGGAUGGGCUGCUUUAAAGUGAUUGGUGUGUCCCUAUAAUAGUUGCCCCUUAUUGCAUGUUUCAUGUAUAUUAUAGGCUGGGUUGGUAGCACCACCAAUUAUUAAAGUUGCCUGACACUUCCUAUUAUAAGAGCCUGUUUUCAGUUGCUUAUAACUUUGCCUGCAUACCACCAUUUCGGCUGAUUUUUUUCUGUGCCAUGUGUCUGCCUCAGGUUGAAUUACUCUGGAAAAUUUCAGCUGAAAUGAUUGUCAUUUCCAAGAAUGAAGCUGGGAAAAAUACAUAGUUGUGUCCAUGUUAAAAAAUUCCUGGUGACAUUUUUCUUUGAAAAGCUCUAAUGCCCUCAUGCUUUGGAUCCAUGACUUGAAAUUUGGUAGGGAAGUGGCUUUCUUUCACGGAGGUGCCUUUUGCCAUUACUAUGAAAACCUGCCCAAAUUUGGCCAAGUCAUAAGCCUUUGGAAAAUUGCAGUUCACACGUGCUCAGUAGAGACUUGCUACUGCCUCGCAGCAAAAAUCAUCAAAGGUUCCAACCACACUAGGCAUGCUCCAGCCCAGGACAGGCAGAACUUUCCCUGUGAUUGUAGCCCUGGGCUUCUGCAGGCCAUGCUAGGUCCAGGUCCCUGAACUGAGAGUGGGGAGCCUGUCUCUCCUGUGCUCUCAAUAAGCUCCCUGCUGCAUAGGCGCCGACUCUGUGGAUGCUCCGGGGCUGGAGCACCCGCGGGGAAAAAUUAGUGGGUGUUCUGCACCCCCUGGCAGCCAAACUCCCCACCCCGUCCCCCUGCCUCACCACCUCCUCCUCCUCCUUUGCCUCCUCCCAGCAUGCCAAGUCUCCACUCCUCCCUCCCUCCCAGCGCUUGCCGCCGCCAAACAGCUCUAGCAAGCUCGG
Long non-coding RNA from Caretta caretta (loggerhead turtle), 4635 nucleotides. RefSeq lists it as uncharacterized. The record is from RefSeq and is a predicted model, not a curated record. NCBI's taxonomy places the organism in Eukaryota, Metazoa, Chordata, Testudines, Cheloniidae.